CAGUCGCCGCGGUAACACGAAGGGUGCAAGCGUUACUCGGAAUUACUGGGCGUAAAGCGUGCGUAGGUGGUGGUUUAAGUCCGUUGUGAAAGCCCUGGGCUCAACCUGGGAAUUGCAGUGGAUACUGGGUCACUAGAGUGUGGUAGAGGAUAGUGGAAUUUCCGGUGUAGCAGUGAAAUGCGUAGAGAUCGGAAGGAACAUCUGUGGCGAAGGCGACUAUCUGGGCCAACACUGACACUGAGGCACGAAAGCGUGGGGAGCAAACAGGAUUAGAUACCCCGGUAGUCCCUGUCUUUUAUAC
Molecule: ribosomal RNA, 301 nt
Filed under: uncultured bacterium
Lineage: Bacteria
Description: partial 16S ribosomal RNA
Rfam family: Bacterial small subunit ribosomal RNA
Source: RNAcentral